UACGAAGGGUGCAAACGUUGCUCGGAAUUAUUGGGCGUAAAGCGCACGUAGGCGGCUAUCUAAGUCGGAUGUGAAAUCCCUCGGCUUAACCAAGGAAGUGCACCCGAAACUGGAUAGCUUGAGUACAGAAGAGGAUCGCGGAAUUCCUGGUGUAGCGGUGAAAUGCGCAGAUAUCAGGAGGAACACCAGUGGCGAAGGCGGCGAUCUGGGAAGAUACUGACGCUGAGGUGCGAAAGCGUGGGGAGCAAACAGG
Molecule: ribosomal RNA, 253 nt
Filed under: uncultured bacterium
Lineage: Bacteria
Description: partial 16S ribosomal RNA
Rfam family: Bacterial small subunit ribosomal RNA
Source: RNAcentral